GUGGCAUCGACGCGCUGGCUUUGUGCAUCUAUUGCUUUUACCUGUCGGGUUUAUGCAGCAGGCACAGAGUCUUAUUGUGAACUGUCGCAUUCUUGCGCGUGCAGUUUCGGCAAGCGCUAUCGAUGGAUUGCAGUCAGUUGCAGGCCGGUCGCUGGAGUAUCUAGACGUAUUUCCCGCGACGCGUAUCAUGUGAUCGGUCUUCUAUUUUCUAAAUUUCCAUUUCGAGUAUGUUCGGUCAUCAAUCGACUUAGUUGUAACAUGCAUCUGCAGUGUUAUGUUAGUGAUUAAUUGUGCGUUCAUGUUCAUAAAAGUUUUUUUUGCUCGGUUUUGAUGUUCAUUUUUCAAAUUACAAGAUUGCUGGUUUUAUGGUCGGUUACCGUGUGACUUUGUCGGUCAAUCGGAUACAUUCCUGCCAUGUUGUUUUUCGUCAUUAGGCGGUCCUUUCGUGCUUGAUACUUUCUGAGCAUUGGGGUCCUUUGAACAAUGUAUUGUUCUCGGGAGCGCCGUCUUAAGAACAGCAGAACUGUUUUUAAAGAUGGGCUGUUAAAUUGAUUUUCUAAUUCUUGUCUACUUUGCCGUGAGAAGCAGUACCAAGGUAUAUGUGGAAGCGACCUAUUAAUCUGCACAGGCCUAUCGCGUUCAUGACGAUAAACGUCUUUUGGUUUCCUCAGAACGCACUAGGAUUUUCGGACUUGUUUCAAAUUGUAAGUGAUAGAAUUUAAUGUUUUCCUAAUUUUUUUACACAGAUUAUGGUGCCGGACAAAAUGAUUUCUUGCCCUGUAUUGGAGAGAGUUUUGUUGAAAAUAUAACAAGUCUAACAAAAAAGCAUCUCUAAGUUUCCUUACAACGUGUUCUCGGGACACUUAAGUAAUGUCGUCUUCUAGUAUUAUUCAUGUGGAACUUAGAAGUUUAUUUUAAUGGCUAAAUCGUCUGU
Molecule: long non-coding RNA, 934 nt
Organism: Dalotia coriaria
Lineage: Eukaryota; Metazoa; Arthropoda; Insecta; Coleoptera; Staphylinidae
Exons: 4
Source: RefSeq, a predicted model, not a curated record